This 429-nucleotide ribosomal RNA is filed under the name Actinomycetes bacterium. RNAcentral describes it as "Actinobacteria bacterium partial 16S ribosomal RNA". It matches the Rfam family "Bacterial small subunit ribosomal RNA", at positions 355 to 776 of the family's 1533-position model. The record is from RNAcentral. Lineage: Bacteria; Bacillati; Actinomycetota; Actinomycetes.
UAGGGAAUCUUCCGCAAUGGGCGAAAGCCUGACGGAGCAACGCCGCGUGAGUGAUGAAGGUCUUCGGAUCGAAAAACUCUGUUAUUAGGGAAGAACAAAUGUGUAAGUAACUAUGCACGUCUUGACGGUACCUAAUCAGAAAGCCACGGCUAACUACGUGCCAGCAUCCGCGGUAAUACGUAGGUGGCAAGCGUUAUCCGGAAUUAUUGGGCGUAAAGCGCGCGUAGGCGGUUUUUUAAGUCUGAUGUGAAAGCCCACGGCUCAACCGUGGAGGGUCAUUUGAAACUGGAAAACUUGAGUGCAGAAGAGGAAAGUGGAAUUCCAUGUGUAGCGGUGAAAUGCGCAGAGAUAUGGAGGAACACCAGUGGCGAAGGCGACUUUCUGGUCUGUAACUGACGCUGAUGUGCGAAAGCGUGGGGAUCAAACAGG